GCAACUGAAAAAAAAAAAAAAUCAUGGAUGUGAACGUGUCCCAUAGGAAACCAUGUAACGGAACUGUAUAGUGUGUUUCUGUAAAAAGCACCAAAAAACAGAGGUGUGACCCCGGCCUGAGAUGUUUAGUAACAUAAUGGGGUUAAAAAAUAAAAAUAAGUACAAAAAGAGCAAAUGAUCACUACUGUAAGGGGAUCAUUUAGGUACAUGGAAGAGUCCUGGACUCAAGACUUCGGGAGGUUGGAGAUGAAUGAACGUGGAAGAUGGUUGAUCUCUUUAGAAAGGACAAUGUGGAAGUGAGAACAUGGUUAUGUAGGUGGGAGGAUGGUAGCUUUGCUCUAUAGAGAAAGGGCUCUGGGGAGGUGAGGACAUGCAGGUACAUGGAAUGAUUGUGGACUUGCGGUUGGUCACUACAGAAAGAACCUUGCAGUAGUGUGGACAUUUAGGUAGGUGGUUGGGGUAUGAUAUGAGGACAUAAGUAUUCAUGGAAGGAUGGUCUCUACAGAAGGAGCAUUGGGGAAAUGAGGACAUGCGGGUACACAGAAAGAUGAUCUCUACAAAAAAAAUCUUGGGGGUGGAGAUUGGCAGGUGAAGACAUGCAGGUUCAUGGAAGGAUGGGCAGGUGAAGACAUGCAGGUUCAUGGAAGGAUGGGCAGGUGAAAACGUGCAGGUUCAUGGAAGAAUGGGCAGGUGAAGACAUGCAGCUUCAUGGAAGGAUGGGAAAGUGAAAACGUGCAGGUUCAUGGAAGAAUGGGCAGGUGAAGACAUGCAGGUUCAUGGAAGGAUGGGCAGGUGAAAACGUGCAGGUUCAUGGAAGAAUGGGCAGGUGAAGACAUGCAGGUUCAUGGAAGGAUGGGCAGGUGAAGACGUGCAGGUUCAUGGAAGAAUGGGCAGGUGAAGACGUGCAGGUUCAUGGAAGAAUGGGCAGGUGAAGACGUGCAGGUUCAUGGAAGAAUGGGCAGGUGAAGACGUGCAGGUUCAUGGAAGGAUGGGCAGGUGAACAUGUGAAGGUUCAUGGAAGGAUGGGCAGGUGAACAUGUGAAGGUUCAUGGAAGGAUGGGCAGGUGAACAUGUGAAGGUUCAUGGAAGGAUGGGCAGGUGAAGACGUGAAGGUACAUGGAAGGAUGGGCAGGUGAAGACAUGCAGGUUCAUGGAAGGAUGGGCA
Long non-coding RNA from Rana temporaria (common frog), 1165 nucleotides. RefSeq lists it as uncharacterized. Lineage: Eukaryota; Metazoa; Chordata; Amphibia; Anura; Ranidae. The record is from RefSeq and is a predicted model, not a curated record. The transcript has 2 exons.